UUUGUGUCUGGUUUUACCCUUUAUGUUUAUUUAAUUGUUAUAAAAACAAAAGUAAAAUAGCCAAUAGUUUGAAUUGGAAUGUACUGAAUAUGACAGCCAUCCAAUAUUUUUUAAAAAUUUUUUUUUUUACAUUCGGCGUUAUUGAUAUAUGAAAACAAAUACAAAAUUAAUCAAUAUAUUUUGUGAUUUAUGGUGGACAGGUUGGAUCAUUUGUUAAAUUCUAUCCACAAACAGACCUGGUCUUCAUAUUCUGCAUCCCAUAUUUA
This 266-nucleotide long non-coding RNA is filed under the name Capsella rubella. RNAcentral describes it as "long non-coding RNA (CRUB_LNC001233)". Lineage: Eukaryota; Viridiplantae; Streptophyta; Magnoliopsida; Brassicales; Brassicaceae. The record is from RNAcentral.